This 499-nucleotide ribosomal RNA is filed under the name uncultured bacterium. Its description in RNAcentral is "partial 16S ribosomal RNA". It matches the Rfam family "Bacterial small subunit ribosomal RNA", at positions 28 to 505 of the family's 1533-position model. The record is from RNAcentral.
GACGAACGCUGGCGGCGUGCCUAAUACAUGCAAGUCGAGCGGACCGGAUUGGGGCUUGCCUUGAUUCGGUCAGCGGCGGACGGGUGAGUAACACGUGGGCAACCUGCCCGCAAGACCGGGAUAACUCCGGGAAACCGGAGCUAAUACCGGAUAACACCGAAGACCGCAUGGUCUUCGGUUGAAAGGCGGCCUUUGGGCUGUCACUUGCGGAUGGGCCCGCGGCGCAUUAGCUAGUUGGUGAGGUAACGGCUCACCAAGGCGACGAUGCGUAGCCGGCCUGAGAGGGUGACCGGCCACACUGGGACUGAGACACGGCCCAGACUCCUACGGGAGGCAGCAGUAGGGAAUCUUCCGCAAUGGGCGAAAGCCUGACGGAGCGACGCCGCGUGAGCGAAGAAGGCCUUCGGGUCGUAAAGCUCUGUUGUGAGGGACGAAGGAGCGUCGUUCGAAGAGGGCGGCGCGGUGACGGUACCUCACGAGAAAGCCCCGGCUAACUACG